GCCUGGCUGGCUCGGUUGGUGGAUCAUGAGACUCUUGAUCUCAAGGUUGUGAGUUCAAGCCCCAUGUUGGGUG
This 73-nucleotide transfer RNA is filed under the name Felis catus (domestic cat). It matches the Rfam family "tRNA". From Rfam's summary of the family: Transfer RNA (tRNA) molecules are approximately 80 nucleotides in length. Their secondary structure includes four short double-helical elements and three loops (D, anti-codon, and T loops). Lineage: Eukaryota; Metazoa; Chordata; Mammalia; Carnivora; Felidae. The record is from Rfam by way of RNAcentral.